Molecule: ribosomal RNA, 324 nt
Filed under: uncultured Smithella sp.
Lineage: Bacteria; Pseudomonadati; Thermodesulfobacteriota; Syntrophia; Syntrophales; Smithellaceae
Description: bacterial SSU rRNA
Rfam family: Bacterial small subunit ribosomal RNA
Source: RNAcentral
CGUGUCGUGAGAUGUUGGGUUAAGUCCCGCAACGAGCGCAACCCUUAUCUUUAAUUGCCAUCAUUCAGUUGGGCACUUUAGGAGAGACUGCCGGUGUUAAACCGGAGGAAGGUGGGAUGACGUCAAGUCCUCAUGGCCUUUAUGCUUAGGGCUACACACGUGCUACAAUGGGUAGUACAAAGAGGAGCCAACUCGCGAGAGGUGCGCAAACUACUCCAAAAAGCUAUCCUAAGUUCGGAUUGAAGUCUGCAACUCGACUUCAUGAAGCUGGAAUCGCUAGUAAUCGCGGAUCAGCAUGCCGCGGUGAAUACGUUCCCGGGCCUU